This 3830-nucleotide small RNA is filed under the name Pan troglodytes (chimpanzee). RNAcentral describes it as "retained intron". The record is from RNAcentral. Lineage: Eukaryota; Metazoa; Chordata; Mammalia; Primates; Hominidae.
AAGAAUUGUUAAAUUUGAGGAAAUACAAAGUACUCAUCCAACAAAUGUUUUUAUUUUUUAGCUAAUCUGAUUAAUUUCUACCAUCAUAGGUUUUUAUGGGAAGUUCCAUAAAUUUAAAGGGAAUAUUUACAUAUACAUGCUGGGGAAGUGCCAUUAAUACUAUUUUACUCUAUUUGAUUGGACAAAUGGUUCUUAUGUAACUCUGCUGUGCCUAAGAAUCACUUGGGGUGCUUGCUAAAAUGCAGAUUUCUUGACCCCUGUCUCAGAGAUUGAUUCAGUAAUUCUUGAGUAGGCAUCAGGAAUCAGUAUUUUAAAACAUACACCCCAGGUUAUUCUGAUGCAAGUGAUAUGAGCAUUACAUGGUGAAAAAUAGUGGGACAAUGUCUGAAUCCCAGGAUAUUCUAUAGGAAUCCACUCAGCCAGUCAUAUUUAGAACACUAAUAUCUAUAUGCCUCUAUAUGAAUCUUGAGGCACUAUGUUAGAUUUAAUUGAAUUGGUUCUGACUUAGUGAUAUAUUGAAGAUGAUAAUUUUUUGGAUUGGAGCUUCAAUAUUAGCUUUUUUUUGUCUAAUUAUAGAUUUCAGAACAUAGAAGAUGUUUGUUGUUCCUUUGGGCUUUAUGGAAGAUUUUUAUGUUCUGCUUAAAUCAGUUUUCUACGACAGUUCUGAAUAGCAAAUAUUAUCAGUUUUCUUUUGCAUUACUUUACAGAAAAUGUUUACUCAAAAGUUGGAAUAUUAAUCUGUAUACUAUUUCAAUGCCAUAAUAACUUCAAAGAUUGGAUUUUCUUGCUACUAUCUUAAGUUUUUUAAAAUAAAUCUUCUUGAUGGGUAAAAGUGAAUAAGGGCAAGUUAAUAUUUUAAUAGAAAAAGUAGAGAGAUAUGAUGCCACCUAUAUAUUUGCAUAUAUAUAUAUAUAUAUAUAUAUAUAUAUAUAUAUAUAUGGUAUGUAACCAUUCACUUGAAAGGCUGCUGUGAAAACCAAUACAUUAAGUUCAUUUAGCAUGUAACAUUUUAUAUAUGACACCAUUAAUGUAUAUUUGGGACUUGAUACUUCCUUUGUGCAAGAUGAACUAGAAUAAUUUUUGCUGAAUGGUAAUUUUUUUUUUUUUUUUUUGCUGACUUCCACUGGGAAUAAGAGGUACAUCAUGCUCUACCUGAGAUCAACUACAUAUUGAUCUUCAUUUCCUUUUCUGAAAGGCAGCAUUAUGAGCGUGUAAUUGCCUAAGCCAAAGGCACCCAAAAAUAGAUCCUAAAAGCUUAUCUGGUAGAUUUCAAAGCUGGUGGUCUCACAUCAACACUGACUAGUAUUCCUAGCAGAGGGGAGAGAUGUCACAGAUACCCCAAACCUGUGAGUUAGGAUUAUUCAAGGACUUGUAUUGUCACUCUAAUUACCUUCCAUCUUUUCCUCAACCUCCACUUAAUACUUACAAGUAAUUAUUUCAUAUAAUAAAAUAGGGGUAAUUGAUUUAAAUAAUAACAACAGUGAAAAACAGUGUAGACAAUACACAUUUUUGAAGUUUUUGCAUGUAUAUUCUGCAUUAGCAAUGCUUUAGGUCUGGAAAAGUGUGGAUUAACAUAUAAUUUGCUCUGCCUAGUGUGUUGUUAUUAGUUUUGUUGAAUGUGACACUGUUUCUGAAGCUGUCAAAGAUAGAACAUGCUGCUCAGUCCUUUUACCGUCUCCGCCUCCAAGAAGAGAAAUCUUUAAAGUAAGUCUUUUUCCCCCUGACCUGUAUUCACCGUAUUAUUUCAGUAAUUCUUCAGUUGCAGAAAACUUAAUUUCAGUUUCAGAGAUUGUGGUCUGCUAACUAUCCUGUAGCCAUAAACAGCCUGUUUUUGUUUGUUUAAUUUUGUGUUUUGUUUGCAAAUUUAUGGGGCUCUGAUGAUUUCUGGAAAUGAAAAAAAGAUCAGAAGCUAUUCUCCAGAUUUUGAAGAUGGCAUUUUUCUUUCAGUUUAGCCUCUGAUAUGGUGUCAAGAGCAGAAACUAUUCAGAAGAAUAAAGAUCAGGCCCAUCGUUUAAAGGGAGUGCUCCGAGACUCCAUAGUGAUGCUUGAACAGCUGAAGAGCUCACUCAUUAUGCUUCAGAAAACGUUUGAUCUACUAAAUAAGAAUAAGACGGGCAUGGCUGUUGAAAGCUAGUGAUCUGAAGGACUAAAACUGCAGAGAUACUUGGAACUUAAAGAAAAUACCUGGAAGAAAACCAGACGAAUGAAGGAUUUUGGCAUAGAACAUUUCUAUGUUUUUUCAUUAUUGAGAUUUCUAAUAUGAACAUUUCUUUCAGUAACAUUUAUUUGAUAAUUAGUUUCUGCUGGCCUUAAUAAUCCAUCCUUUCACUUCUUAUAGAUAUUUUUAAGCUGUGAAUUUCUUCAGUGAACCAUGAAAUAUAUUAUAGAACUGAAUUUCUCUGAUACAAAAAGAAAAUGACACACCCUGAAUUGAGUGGUAUGGUCUCAUUUCUACAGUGAAGUCUGAUGCUUUGUUAGCACAGAAUCCGUACAUGUCCAAUAGGUCGCUUUCGUAACUGAGAUAAGACCAAGAGGAUAAACAGGACAAUGUAAGAAGAAACCUCUAUGUCAUUACUGAUUUUAAAGGUUCUGUUUUCAGGCAUAUAACAUUUCCAGGUUUGUGUACUGUAAAUAUUAUAAUGUCUUCAUUUAUUUAGCAUGCAAAUUUAAUAGUCAAACUUUUUGAAUCUGCAUGUUGACAAUGAUUAUCAGAAAGGGUCUUCUGCCAUGCUGUAUCUUUAUGAAAGAAAUAGUUGUUUUUUCUUAAGGUAACUAUCAGAGGUGGGAUUAUCUUGCCUCCUCACUUAGGAUACCAACAGUCAAAAGGAAGAACCAUCCUCUGAGUUUUAAAAACCAGAAGGUUAUGUUAAAAUCUGGGCAUUUAGUGACAGAUCAAAUGCAUACUUGAACUAAGAUUGGCUUCAGCUUAGCAGUCUUUCAUGGUGGAAGUGACACAUCUGGUUGAAAAUAAUUUGUGUAUUUUCAGUAACCAUGUAUGGCUUCCUUCUUUAUGUAUGUGUGUGACUUGUUUUGGUUGGUAAGUUAUAAGCCAGACAUAGAUUUUAGCUCUUUAAUAAAAACUUCAGGGGCACGUAUGUCCCAGUACAAGUGUACUGACUAUCAAGUUUUAACUCAGAUGCAAGCUUUGGCUGUUUCAUAAAAAGUUUUUAUGCAUAUGUGUCUCCAUACAAGUGGCUCAUUAAAAUAAGAACUUUGUAAACUGACUUAAAAUCAGAUAUUUUUUCAAGAGUUAGGGAAAGCUGAAGUGUUUUACUGUUUUGUCUCUUGAGCCCUUUCUCUGGGGAAAAAAUACAUAUCCAUCUAUCUAUCUAUAUAUAAAAUGUGUAUACAUUCUUACUGUUUGAACAACUAUUGCCUUUAAUUAAAUGUUUCAUUUUUCUCCAGAGUCCCCAAAGCCACAUGGCAUUAUUAUAGUCAUUUUUGAGAUGCCUGUAGAGAAUGAAAGUAUUGGCUCCGUUAGAGGGAAAAUGGGUUUCUCUGGGUGAAUUCCAACGAAGCAUACCUAGGGGUAACAGUGAACCUACCUGGGUUUGUUUUGUUUUGGUAAGGAUUUAUGUAGUGUCUGGCUGUAAGCAAGAAUGAGUGGAUUAUAAACUUGAAGAUUUCUCUGUUAAAGUCACAAAAAUGAUCGACAAACAAUAUUUUUGUGAUGUUUAUUUAAACGUUGUAUUUUAUAACAUACUUCAAGGAAGAGUAUCGAAGUAAGUUGCUUUAUAAAUUAAGACUAAAUUCGUAUGGAUGCAGAAUUCAAUUAACAAAAUUUGAGCCUGUUACGUAAAUUGAAUAUCAAUAAAAUUGAAAAUUUCUGA